This 424-nucleotide ribosomal RNA is filed under the name uncultured bacterium. RNAcentral's name for it is "bacterial SSU rRNA". It matches the Rfam family "Bacterial small subunit ribosomal RNA", at positions 356 to 773 of the family's 1533-position model. The record is from RNAcentral.
AGGGAAUUUUCGGCAAUGGGGGGAACCCUGACCGAGCAAUGCCGCGUGAAUGAAGAAGGUCUUCGGACUGUAAAGUUCUGUUAUCGGGAAAGAAGGUAUAUACCAGGAAAUGGGUAUAUAUUGACGGUACCCAAUUAGAAAGCCCCGGCUAACUACGUGCCAGCAGCCGCGGUCAUACGUAGGGGGCGAGCGUUAUCCGGAAUUAUUGGGCGUAAAGCGUGCGUAGGCGGAAUGUUAAGUCAUUUGUAAAAGAUCUCAGCCUAACUGAGUAAGGCGAAUGAAACUGGCAAUCUUGAAUACGGUAGAGGUAAGCGGAAUUCCAUGUGUAGCGGUGGAAUGCGUAGAUAUAUGGAGGAACACCAAUGGCGAAGGCAGCUUACUGGGCCGGAAUUGACGCUGAGGCACGAAAGCGUGGGGAGCAAAC